RNAcentral lists this ribosomal RNA (520 nucleotides) under uncultured Methanofollis sp. RNAcentral's name for it is "bacterial SSU rRNA". It matches the Rfam family "Archaeal small subunit ribosomal RNA", at positions 244 to 766 of the family's 1478-position model. The record is from RNAcentral. Lineage: Archaea; Methanobacteriati; Methanobacteriota; Methanomicrobia; Methanomicrobiales; Methanomicrobiaceae.
GCUGCAGGAAUUCCCAAUACUAUCGGUACGGGUUGUGGGAGCAAGAGCCCGGAGAUGGAUUCUGAGACACGAAUCCAGGCCCUACGGGGCGCAGCAGGCGCGAAAACUUUACAAUGCAGGCAACUGUGAUAAGGGAACCCCGAGUGCCCGUAUGGACGGGCUGUUCAGGUGCUUAAAAACCACCUGGAGAAAGGGCCGGGCAAGACCGGUGCCAGCCGCCGCGGUAAUACCGGCGGCUCGAGUGGUGGCCACUAUUACUGGGCUUAAAGCGUCCGUAGCUUGGUCGUUAAGCCUCUGGGGAAAUCUUCCGGCUUAACCGGAAGGCGUCUCAGGGGAACUGGCGACCUAGGGAUCGGGAGAGGUGAGAGGUACUCUGGGGGUAGGAGUGAAAUCCUGUAAUCCUCAGGGGACCACCUGUGGCGAAGGCGUCUCACCAGAACGACUCCGACAGUGAGGGACGAAAGCUGGGGGAGCAAACCGGAUUAGAUACCCGGGUAGUCCCAGCCGUAAACAAUGCGCG